Molecule: long non-coding RNA, 912 nt
Organism: Nycticebus coucang (slow loris)
Lineage: Eukaryota; Metazoa; Chordata; Mammalia; Primates; Lorisidae
Exons: 4
Source: RefSeq, a predicted model, not a curated record
GAGCGAGCCAGGAGGGGGGAGAACAAGAGGAAACUAGAGGAAGAGGGAAACUGAGGAAGGGAUGAGGAAGGUUCUCUCAAGCAGGCACCUGGGCCGGCCCCUGUAUUACUCCCUGCCCUUCAAAGGGAGAAAGACGCAGACCAGUGGAGUGAAGACCCUGCGUGUUCUCUCAAUGUAAAAAAGUUGACAAACAUCUCUGGCCCCCUCCUAAGAGUAAAAUAAGAUGACCAGAACAUCAGGACUUUCCAGACCAUCAGACAUUUUCAGCCCUCCACCCUCAAGAGAGACUAGAGGGCAGCCAAGUCCAUUUAAAGGUGAGUCGCUGGUGAAACAACGGUGUAUAAUGUGGAGACCCUGCCCGUGCACCACUCCCUCUGCUCAUGCAAACUCCUGAACGUACCACUUCUGUUCACAGUGGAUUGCUGCUGGACACAUCUGACCUUGUGAAACAGUGGACAGGCAAAAGCCAAGUGUGUUCAGUUUUAUAUGUCCACCUGGCUAGGCUGCCAUCCUCAGUAAUUCAUGGAAACACAAAUCUUGGUGGUGGUGUAAAAAUUUUUGUGGAUGGAAUUAAACUUUACAAUCCGUUGGAAGAAGUCAAAGAGAUUAUCCUAGAUAGUGUGGGUUAGCUUGACCCACUGAUUCGAGGCUUUAGAAAAGAGCUGUGUUUUUUCUGAAAAGAAGAAAUUUCACCUGCGUAGGAGCCGAAGUUCCCUCCUGAGUUUCUAGCAUAUCUUUUCUGGUAAACUGGCCUGUGGAUUUCUCGUCUAUAUACAUAUGUGAGUAUGUAUAAUAUCCUAGAGACUGUUUUUUGUUUAUUUGGUAAAACCCUGACUGAUAUACCAAAUCAUAAUGGGAAAGUGAUGGGAAGUUGUAACCUCAUGUAAUGUGGUUUCCUGGGUCAUGUGCCUC